Molecule: ribosomal RNA, 729 nt
Filed under: Candidatus Tremblayella phenacoccinincola
Lineage: Bacteria; Pseudomonadati; Pseudomonadota; Betaproteobacteria
Description: bacterial SSU rRNA
Rfam family: Bacterial small subunit ribosomal RNA
Source: RNAcentral
GGGAUAGAAUUCCAGGAGUAGCGGUGAAAUGCGUAGAUAUCUGGAGGAAUACCAAAGGCGAAGGCAGUCCCCUGGUCCGAUACUGACACUGAGGUACGAAAGCGUGGGGAGCAAACAGGAUUAGAUACCCUGGUAGUCCACGCCCUAAACGAUGUCGAUUAGCCAUUGGAAGGACCCCUUUUCCUUUCAGUGACGUAGCUAACGCGUUAAAUCGACCGCCUGGGAAGUACGACCGCAAGGUUAAAACUCAAAGGAAUUGACGGGGACCUGAACAAGCGGUGAAUGAUGUGGAUUAAUUCGAUGCUACGCGAAGAACCUUACCUACCUUUGACAUGGCCAAAGUUCUACCGAGAGGCGGAAGUACUCGUAAGAGGAUUGGCGCACAGGUGCUGCAUGGUUGUCGUCAGUUCGUGUCGUGAGAUGUUGGGUUCAGUCCCGCAACGAACGCAACCCUUAUCUUUAAUUGCUCCUAUUUUAACAGGCAUUUUAAAGAAACUGCCAAUGAUAAGUUGGAGGAAGGUGGGGAUCACGUCAAGUCCGCAUGGCCUUUAUAGGUAGGGCUUCACACGUCAUACAAUGGUUAGAACAAAGAGCUGCAAAUUCGUAAGAAGGAGCCAAUCUCACAAACCUAACCUCAGUUCGAAUUGCGGUCUGCAACUCGAGCGCAUGAAGCCGGAAUCGCUAGUAAUCGUGGAUCAGAAUGCCACGGUGAAUACGUUCUUAGGUCUU